RNAcentral lists this ribosomal RNA (253 nucleotides) under uncultured bacterium. RNAcentral describes it as "partial 16S ribosomal RNA". It matches the Rfam family "Bacterial small subunit ribosomal RNA", at positions 524 to 776 of the family's 1533-position model. The record is from RNAcentral.
UACGUAGGUGGCAAGCGUUGUUCGGAAUUAUUGGGCGUAAAGGGCGCGUAGGCGGUUUGUUAAGUCGGCUGUGAAAGCCCGGGGCUCAACCCCGGAGGGUCAGCCGAUACUGGCAGACUAGAGUACGGAAGAGGUAGCUGGAAUUCCCGGUGUAGCGGUGAAAUGCGUAGAUAUCGUAAGGAAGACCAGUGGCGAAGGCGGGUCUCUGGACAGUUCCUGACGCUGAGGCACGAAGGCCAGGGGAGCAAACGGG